Molecule: transfer RNA, 61 nt
Filed under: Aeromicrobium choanae
Lineage: Bacteria; Bacillati; Actinomycetota; Actinomycetes; Propionibacteriales; Nocardioidaceae
Description: tRNA_Gly_CCC
Rfam family: tRNA
About the family: Transfer RNA (tRNA) molecules are approximately 80 nucleotides in length. Their secondary structure includes four short double-helical elements and three loops (D, anti-codon, and T loops).
Source: RNAcentral
GCCAGUGGGUCGGGUCUUGCUUCCCAAGCAAGAUACGCGGGUUCGAUUCCCGUCACCGGCU